RNAcentral lists this ribosomal RNA (628 nucleotides) under Segatella oris. RNAcentral describes it as "bacterial SSU rRNA". It matches the Rfam family "Bacterial small subunit ribosomal RNA", at positions 370 to 996 of the family's 1533-position model. Lineage: Bacteria; Pseudomonadati; Bacteroidota; Bacteroidia; Bacteroidales; Prevotellaceae. The record is from RNAcentral.
AAUGGGCGAGAGCCUGAACCAGCCAAGUAGCGUGCAGGAUGACGGCCCUAUGGGUUGUAAACUGCUUUUAUGCGGGGAUAAAGUGAGGGACGUGUCCUUCAUUGCAGGUACCGCAUGAAUAAGGACCGGCUAAUACCGUGCCAGCAGCCGCGGUAAUACGGAAGGUCCGGGCGUUAUCCGGAUUUAUUGGGUUUAAAGGGAGCGUAGGCCGUGGAUUAAGCGUGUUGUGAAAUGCAGGUGCUCAACGUCUGCACUGCAGCGCGAACUGGUUCACUUGUGUGUGCACAACGCAGGCGGAAUUCGUCGUGUAGCGGUGAAAUGCUUAGAUAUGACGAAGAACUCCGAUUGCGAAGGCAGCUUGCGGGAGCACAACUGACGCUGAAGCUCGAAAGUGCGAGUAUCGAACAGGAUUAGAUACCCUGGUAGUCCGCACGGUAAACGAUGGAUGCCCGUUGUCAGGCUGUUUCAGUCUGGUGACCAAGCGAAAGCAUUAAGCAUCCCACCUGGGGAGUACGCCGGCAACGGUGAAACUCAAAGGAAUUGACGGGGGCCCGCACAAGCGGAGGAACAUGUGGUUUAAUUCGAUGAUACGCGAGGAACCUUACCCGGGGCUUGAAUUGCAGACGAA